This 480-nucleotide small RNA is filed under the name Arabidopsis thaliana (thale cress). RNAcentral describes it as "ATSL145630". Lineage: Eukaryota; Viridiplantae; Streptophyta; Magnoliopsida; Brassicales; Brassicaceae. The record is from RNAcentral.
GUUUUAUUAAAUUGGUUUAGAUUUGUUGGUUAAACUUAAAUUGGCAUUGGUUUAGAGAUUUUAGUUGUUUUAAUUCAAUUUUACAAAAUUUGAUGGGUCAAUUAGCUAAACCAUUGAAACCAUUACUCAUUACAACCCAACUCAUUUUAUUCAUCAAACUAAUUGACUCAAUAACUCAUUUGACCCAUCAACUCAUUUGAGUCAAAAUUUUCAACUCAUUAGAGUUCAUGGGUUGAGUUGACCAAUGAAUUUUGACCCAUUUUGACACACCUACCUUCAACCAUAUACGUUGCGUUUUGGCAUUCAAUUAAACGAACCCAUUUGAAUCCCACUCAUUUAAAUAAAAUAUCUAUGGACCUUGUAAAAGACCUUCAAGCUCUUUUAUUUACCUAAGUAAUUCUAUUAUUUCCCCUGGUUUUAUUCAUGUAAUUAUAUAUAUAUAAAUUGUUAUAGUUAAAGAGAUUAUUUUAUGGGCAUUUC